UACGUAGGGGGCAAGCGUUGUUCGGAAUAACUGGGCGUAAAGGAUGCGUAGGCGGUUAAACAAGUUAUAUGUUAAAUAUAUAGGCUUAACCUGUAGAAAGCAUAUAAAACUGUUUAACUAGAGUGCAGGAGAGGUAAGUGGAAUUCCUAGUGUAGCGGUGAAAUGCGUAGAGAUUAGGAAGAACACCAGUGGCGAAGGCGACUUACUGGACUGUAACUGACGCUGAGGCAUGAGAGCAUGGGGAGCAAACAGG
RNAcentral lists this ribosomal RNA (253 nucleotides) under uncultured bacterium. RNAcentral describes it as "partial 16S ribosomal RNA". It matches the Rfam family "Bacterial small subunit ribosomal RNA", at positions 524 to 776 of the family's 1533-position model. The record is from RNAcentral.